CACACUAAGGGCCGAUGGAGAACACACUAAGGGCCAAUGCCACUAACUAAGAGGAGAACAGGAUGAGGAAGAGGAGGAGGAGGAGGGUGGGGCUUUCAGCAUGUGGAGUGAUGAGGUCAUGGCGAAGCCUAACAGCAGCCGCUCCUUCCUGGCUGACUACAUGGCAGAGGUGCAUGAUGGGAUGGCGGCGGCGGAGAGAGCAGCGAGCGAGAGAGCGAGGAAGCAGGGCGGAGGAGAGAGCAGCGAGCGAGAGAGCGAGAGAGCGAGGGAGCAGGGCGGAGGAGAGAGCAGGGCGGAGCCAGAAAGGGGGCGUACCGUACCUAGUUCCUGCUGGAUGCUGUCGGGGAGCCCUGAGAUAGUCUUUCUCCGCUUGACCUUUUUGGGCCGCCGGGCCACCGUAUCACAGUUAGCCAGAGCGCGCCGCACGCUAGCCUGGCGGUCAAACGUCUCCCCUGGAGCAGGCAGGCAGGCGCACACACACACACACACACACACACACACACACACACACACACACACAGAGGGCCGCUGGUUAGUCACAGCACAGCCAUGCACGUCACAUGCACAGCGCAGGCAGAAACAAUCACACUCAGAGAGCAAAGACAGAUUGCGAUCACAGAGUGAAGACAGACUGAUCGCAGGGUGGAGACGAUCACAGAGUGACAACAGACUGAUCGCAGGGUGGAGACGAUCACAGAGUGACAGAUCACAGACUGAUCGCAGGGUGGAGACGAUCACAGCUGAUCACUAAGUGAGAUCUAAGACAGAAGCAAUCGCACACAGAAAAGACAGAUGGCAGGUCUCACGUUGGCGGCGCUCUCGUGUCAGAGUCGGUCAGAACUGGUGCACACUGAUGAUGUCAGCUAAACUGUUGCACACUGAUGAUGUCAGCUAAACUGGUGCACACUGAUGAUGUCAGCAAAACUGGUGCACACUGAUGAUGUCAGCUAAACUGGUGCACACUGAUGAUGUCAGCUAAACUGGUGGACACUGAUGAUGUCAGCUAAACUGGUGCACAGUGAUGAUGUCAGCUAAACUGGUGCACACUGAUGAUGUCAGCUAAACUGGUGCACACUGAUGAUGUCAGCUAAACUGGUGGACACAGGAGCCAAUAAUGCCAGAGCCCCCGAUAGUAGGGCAGCACUAUGGGAGAGACCCUUAUGACUGACAGGUUUAUAACUGUGGCCCUCAUGACUUACAGGUUUAUAACUGUGGCCCUCAGGGUUUAUAACUGUGGCCCUCAUGACUGACAGGUUUAUAACUGUGGCCCUUAUGACUGACAGGUUUAUAACCUGCCUGCCCUCAUGCACUUGUCUAGUAUACAGAAAAAAAGAAACUAAAUGCAACGUUAUUGAUCUUUGUUUGGUUGAUGAGUUUGAAAGGGGACCUUAUCGGCGGCAGACGUGCCACGUGACGGCUGCUCGGGAAAACAGCAGUGUAACCGGGGGUGACGGCAGCAGUGUAACCAGGGGUGACGGCAGCAGUGUAACCGGGGGUGACGGCAGCUACAGGAGCGAGGUACUGAUCCAAAGCUGGGUCUGAUCCAAAGCUGGUUCUGACAGACUAAGCCAGAGAGACCCACGAGUCUGACUCGUUCUCAGCAGGAGCCGACACGCACGAGAUUACUGAGUCAGAGUGCAAAACACACAC
Clupea harengus (Atlantic herring) is the source of this 1650-nucleotide long non-coding RNA. Lineage: Eukaryota; Metazoa; Chordata; Actinopteri; Clupeiformes; Clupeidae. The record is from Ensembl.